GCUGGCUGCGUAUGGGGAAACUGCAAAAGCCAGAAAAGAAAAGUGCCAUAGAAGCCUCGAUCUGAGGACCUCUUCCAAGAUUAAAGCCAUUCUUAAGAGCAACCGCUAUCCUCUGUGGCUGACUUGCCCGGGACUAUACAGAAAGGCAUCUGCGACGAGAGCGGGCCGGACUUUGGCCCUGGCCAGGGCAGGCAGGCGUUUGGAGACCAC
Molecule: long non-coding RNA, 210 nt
Organism: Elgaria multicarinata webbii
Lineage: Eukaryota; Metazoa; Chordata; Lepidosauria; Squamata; Anguidae
Exons: 3
Source: RefSeq, a predicted model, not a curated record